GGUAAAAGAUUAAUCGCCUAGAGAGGGGCUUGCGUCUGAUUAGCUAGUUGGUGAGGUAAGAGCUUACCAAGGCGACGAUCAGUAGCUGGUCUGAGAGGAUGAUCAGCCACACUGGGACUGAGACACGGCCCAGACUCCUACGGGAGGCAGCAGUGGGGAAUUUUCCGCAAUGGGCGAAAGCCUGACGGAGCAAGACCGCGUGGGGGAGGAAGGUUCUUGGAUUGUCAACCCCUUUUCUCAGGGAAGAACRCAAUGACGGUACCUGAGGAAAAAGCAUCGGCUAACUCCGUGCCAGCAGCCGCGGUAAUACGGGGGAUGCAAGCGUUAUCCGGAAUGAUUGGGCGUAAAGAGUCCGUAGGUAGUCAUCCAAGUCUGCUGUUAAAGAGCGAGGCUUAACCUCGUAAAGGCAGUGGAAACUGGAAGACUAGAGUGUAGUAGGGGCAGAGGGAAUUCCUGGUGUAGCGGUGAAAUGCGUAGAGAUCAGGAAGAACACCGGUGG
This 499-nucleotide ribosomal RNA is filed under the name Planktothrix agardhii 0ES34S1. RNAcentral's name for it is "bacterial SSU rRNA". It matches the Rfam family "Bacterial small subunit ribosomal RNA", at positions 199 to 715 of the family's 1533-position model. Lineage: Bacteria; Bacillati; Cyanobacteriota; Cyanophyceae; Oscillatoriales; Microcoleaceae. The record is from RNAcentral.